Termitomyces sp. J132 is the source of this 102-nucleotide transfer RNA. It matches the Rfam family "tRNA". Rfam says of the family: Transfer RNA (tRNA) molecules are approximately 80 nucleotides in length. Their secondary structure includes four short double-helical elements and three loops (D, anti-codon, and T loops). Further hydrogen bonds mediate the characteristic L-shaped molecular structure. tRNAs have two regions of fundamental functional importance: the anti-codon, which is responsible for specific mRNA codon recognition, and the 3' end, to which the tRNAs corresponding amino acid is attached (by aminoacyl-tRNA synthetases). tRNAs cope with the degeneracy of the genetic code in two manners: having more than one tRNA (with a specific anti-codon) for a particular amino acid; and 'wobble' base-pairing, i.e. permitting non-standard base-pairing at the 3rd anti-codon position. The record is from Rfam. NCBI's taxonomy places the organism in Eukaryota, Fungi, Basidiomycota, Agaricomycetes, Agaricales, Lyophyllaceae.
GGUGAGAUGGCCGAGCGGUCUAAGGCGCCAGACUAAGGUGAAAUCUCUCUACUACCUAAUCUGGUCUCUUCGGGGGCGGGAGUUCGAAUCUCCCUCUCAUCA